CCUACGGGCGGCAGCAGUGGGGAAUAUUGCACAAUGGGGGAAACCCUGAUGCAGCAACGCCGCGUGAGUGAAGAAGGAUUUCGGGAUGUAAAGCUCUAUCAGCAGGGAAGAAGAAAGACGGUACCUGACUAAGAAGCCCCGGCUAACUACGUGCCAGCAGCCGCGGUAAUACGUAGGGGGCAAGCGUUAUCCGGAUUUACUGGGUGUAAAGGGAGCGUAGACGGCUGGGCAAGUCGGGAGUGAAAGCCCGGGGCUCACCCGCGGAACUGCUUUGGAAACUGUAUAGCUUGAGUACUGGAGAGGCAGGCGGAAUUCCUAGUGUAGCGGUGAAAUGCGUAGAUAUUAGGAGGAACACCAGUGGCGAAGGCGGCCUGCUGGACCGCAACUGACGUUGAGGCUCGAAAGCGUGGGGAGCAAACAGGAUUAGAUACCCUGGUAGUC
Molecule: ribosomal RNA, 441 nt
Filed under: uncultured bacterium
Lineage: Bacteria
Description: partial 16S ribosomal RNA
Rfam family: Bacterial small subunit ribosomal RNA
Source: RNAcentral